GGGGACCCGCAAGCGGUGGAUGAUGUGGAUUAAUUCGAUGCAACGCGAAAAACCUUACCUACCCUUGACAUGUACGGAAGCCUUGAGAGAUCAGGGUGUGCUCGAAAGAGAGCCGUAACACAGGUGCUGCAUGGCUGUCGUCAGCUCGUGUCGUGAGAUGUUGGGUUAAGUCCCGCAACGAGCGCAACCCUUGUCAUUAGUUGCUACAAAAGGGCACUCUAAUGAGACUGCCGGUGACAAACCGGAGGAAGGUGGGGAUGACGUCAAGUCCUCAUGGCCCUUAUGGGUAGGGCUUCACACGUCAUACAAUGGUACAUACAGAGGGCCGCCAACCCGCGAGGGGGAGCUAAUCCCGGAAAGUGUAUCGUAGUCCGGAUCGCAGUCUGCAACUCGACUGCGUGAAGUUGGAAUCGCUAGUAAUCGCGGAUCAGCAUGUCGCGGUGAAUACGUUCCCGGGUCUUGUACACACC
RNAcentral lists this ribosomal RNA (470 nucleotides) under uncultured bacterium. RNAcentral describes it as "bacterial SSU rRNA". It matches the Rfam family "Bacterial small subunit ribosomal RNA", at positions 915 to 1391 of the family's 1533-position model. The record is from RNAcentral.